CAGCCGCCGCGGUAACACGUAGGGUGCAAGCGUUAAUCGGAAUUACUGGGCGUAAAGGACGCGUAGGCGGAUUAUCAAGUCUCUUGUGAAAUCUAACGGCUUAGCCGUUAAACUGCUUGGGAAACUGAUAAUCUAGAGUAAGGGAGAGGCAGAUGGAAUUCUUGGUGUAGUGGUAAAAUCCGUAGAGAUCAAGAAGAAUAUCCAUUGCGAAAGCGAUCUGCUGGAACUUAACUGACGCUAAUGCGUGAAAGCGUGGGGAGCAAACAGGAUUAGAUACCCCUGUAGUCCCUGUCUCUUAUAC
RNAcentral lists this ribosomal RNA (301 nucleotides) under uncultured bacterium. Its description in RNAcentral is "partial 16S ribosomal RNA". It matches the Rfam family "Bacterial small subunit ribosomal RNA", at positions 509 to 807 of the family's 1533-position model. The record is from RNAcentral.